Molecule: non-coding RNA, 515 nt
Organism: Nicotiana tabacum (common tobacco)
Lineage: Eukaryota; Viridiplantae; Streptophyta; Magnoliopsida; Solanales; Solanaceae
Source: RefSeq, a predicted model, not a curated record
CAAUCAAAAUUUCCCCAAAAUAUUCCCUUCCCCCCAAUUCUGAAAAGGCAAAAGAGAUACCCGCUGAAAUACUUUGCCUAAUUCCAAAUUCCCCACCACUAAAAUAUUUUACCCUUUCCAAAAUUCCCUCUGUUGCUUCAAUGCUAUUUCACCACUACCGCGACCCAAUUUCCUCUAAUGGACUGUAUCAACUCCAAAUAUAGAUCCUUUUUAGGGGUUGGUUUGCCCUAAUUUCAAAUAAUGCCCUCAACUAGAUAACUUGCUCCGCUCCAUCUCUUUCUCCGUCGAACUCGUUUGGUGAAAUCGAGCUAAAACUUGUAGAAUGUAAUUUUGGUUAACUUGUUCAGUGCUAGUCGCCGCGACUUCCUCAUCCGUCAUGAUUUGUUGCUGGAUUGCGAAGGUGAAUAAGAAGGCAGUGGUUGCUCGGUGAUUCCAAGAGGCACAAGAUACUUCAACUUCUUUCUGUUUUGUGGCUGCUUUUAAAUCCUGGUAAAACAAAAACUCUACCUAUAUAA